GAUAUAUGGGUGAGGACACUGGUUUUGCCUUUGCAGUCUCUGUUGCUGGAGUCAGCUAAUUGGCUUCUUAACCAGUAUGUUUCUUGGAUCUAUUUUAUGUGCAGUGUGUUAGCGGCUUAGCGCGGGUAGUACGUGUUUCUAUAUGAAAUUUAACUUUCAUUGUAGAAAUCGUUUAAUGUUCUCGUGCUUUGAUGUAAGUGCAUCAUAGAAAUUGUUACGUGUGAAUAUCAAAUCAGUGAAAAUCCCAGAACACAAAGAGAAGUUACAUUGGAA
This 273-nucleotide unclassified non-coding RNA is filed under the name Hevea brasiliensis (rubber tree). Lineage: Eukaryota; Viridiplantae; Streptophyta; Magnoliopsida; Malpighiales; Euphorbiaceae. The record is from RNAcentral.